This 497-nucleotide ribosomal RNA is filed under the name uncultured bacterium. RNAcentral's name for it is "partial 16S ribosomal RNA". It matches the Rfam family "Bacterial small subunit ribosomal RNA", at positions 28 to 507 of the family's 1533-position model. The record is from RNAcentral.
GAUGAACGCUGGCGGCGUGCCUAAUACAUGCAAGUCGAGCGAACGGACGAGAAGCUUGCUUCUCUGAUGUUAGCGGCGGACGGGUGAGUAACACGUGGAUAACCUACCUAUAAGACUGGGAUAACUUCGGGAAACCGGAGCUAAUACCGGAUAAUAUUUUGAACCGCAUGGUUCAAAAGUGAAAGACGGUCUUGCUGUCACUUAUAGAUGGAUCCGAGCUGCAUUAGCUAGUUGGUAAGGUAACGGCUUACCAAGGCAACGAUGCAUAGCCGACCUGAGAGGGUGAUCGGCCACACUGGAACUGAGACACGGUACAGACUCCUACGGGAGGCAGCAGUAGGGAAUCUUCCGCAAUGGGCGAAAGCCUGACGGAGCAACGCCGCGUGAGUGAUGAAGGUCUUCGGAUCGUAAAACUCUGUUAUUAGGGAAGAACAUAUGUGUAAGUAACUGUGCACAUCUUGACGGUACCUAAUCAGAAAGCCACGGCUAACUACGUG